UCCCAAGGGGGCUGGUGUUGCUGGCUGAGAUUAAGAACGUGAUUCUUAGACCUUUCUUACCUGAUCUGGUUAAUUCCAGCGUAGGGAGAGGCUU
Molecule: non-coding RNA, 94 nt
Filed under: Clostridium amazonitimonense
Lineage: Bacteria; Bacillati; Bacillota; Clostridia; Eubacteriales; Clostridiaceae
Description: TPP riboswitch (THI element)
Rfam family: TPP riboswitch aptamer (THI element)
About the family: Vitamin B(1) in its active form thiamin pyrophosphate (TPP) is an essential coenzyme that is synthesised by coupling of pyrimidine and thiazole moieties in bacteria.
Source: RNAcentral